AUUGAACGCUGGCGGCAGGCCUAACACAUGCAAGUCGAGCGGAUGAAGGGAGCUUGCUCCUGGAUUCAGCGGCGGACGGGUGAGUAAUGCCUAGGAAUCUGCCUGGUAGUGGGGGAUAACGUCCGGAAACGGGCGCUAAUACCGCAUACGUCCUGAGGGAGAAAGUGGGGGAUCUUCGGACCUCACGCUAUCAGAUGAGCCUAGGUCGGAUUAGCUAGUUGGUGGGGUAAAGGCUCCAAGGCGACGAUCCGUAACUGGUCUGAGAGGAUGAUCAGUCACAUGGAACUGAGACACGGUCCAGACUCCUACGGGAGGCAGCAGUGGGGAAUAUUGGACAAUGGGCGAAAGCCUGAUCCAGCCAUGCCGCGUGUGUGAAGAAGGUCUUCGGAUUGUAAAGCACUUUAAGUUGGGAGGAAGGGCAGUAAGUUAAUACCUUGCUGUUUUGACGUUACCAACGA
This 458-nucleotide ribosomal RNA is filed under the name Pseudomonas aeruginosa. RNAcentral describes it as "bacterial SSU rRNA". It matches the Rfam family "Bacterial small subunit ribosomal RNA", at positions 30 to 484 of the family's 1533-position model. The record is from RNAcentral. Lineage: Bacteria; Pseudomonadati; Pseudomonadota; Gammaproteobacteria; Pseudomonadales; Pseudomonadaceae.